Molecule: ribosomal RNA, 253 nt
Filed under: uncultured prokaryote
Description: partial 16S ribosomal RNA
Rfam family: Bacterial small subunit ribosomal RNA
Source: RNAcentral
UACGUAGGGUGCAAGCGUUAAUCGGAAUUACUGGGCGUAAAGUGUGCGCAGGCGGCUAUGCAAGACAGAUGUGAAAUCCCCGGGCUCAACCUGGGAACUGCAUUUGUGACUGCAUGGCUAGAGUACGGCAGAGGGAGAUGGAAUUCCGCGUGUAGCAGUGAAAUGCGUAGAUAUGCGGAGGAACACCGAUGGCGAAGGCAAUCUCCUGGGCCUGUACUGACGCUCAUGCACGAAAGUGUGGGGAGCAAACAGG